This 1989-nucleotide long non-coding RNA is filed under the name Helianthus annuus (common sunflower). RNAcentral describes it as "hypothetical non coding rna". The record is from RNAcentral. Lineage: Eukaryota; Viridiplantae; Streptophyta; Magnoliopsida; Asterales; Asteraceae.
UUUUUCUGCCCAUGUUCUCCACAAAUCAUGUUUCCUAAUCUGGUCCACGUUCUAAUUGUUCCAACUCCCAUGUUUGCUUUAUAACCUCAUUCAAACUCCCCAAAACCACCGUUCUGCUCCUUUUCUUGUAAUGCUUUUUAAACCAUCAUCGUUGACGCUCCAAUACUCCGACAAUCCAUCCGUAGUAACAACAAGAGAGCAAUCAAUCCUGCACUCACCACGUCAAUAGCAAUGGCCACCGGUUUGGUUUGGCUGGAGCUUCUUAAUGUUAUUGGCGGGCCACAAAGGGGAAGACUAACGAAUUUCUACACAUCGUACCCGUAUAAUGUUUCGAUUUGAAAUCUGGUUCGUACAACACUUGGGUUUAGUUCUUAUUUGAAGAUGCAGAGACAAAGAAUGAUUUCAGGUUAUUGCCUUCACUGGAAAUGCCCUACAGCAACAUGGAGGUUUACAAGCAAAUAAUUUGUGGGUAAGAUUCAUACACGUGAAGAUGGUGGUAAGUAUAUUGGAGAAUUUAAAGGAGGUAUUAAACAUGGGCUUGGGCCUUGCCCACUAUCAUUUCAGCUAUUAGAUCAGAACGAGGUGCAAAAUUUACUCCCAUCAACCCUUAAAGCCCAAAGUUGUGGAUUGAAAGUUGUACUGGAUGGUUUAAGAGCCGGGUGAUGGAGUAUAAGCAGAAAAUGAAGUAGAAGCUUAUGACACAACCAAGAUACUUACUUUGGAAAUUUGAUUGGCGCUUAAGAAAGUCUUCAAAUUAGCUAAUAUGAAUUUCAGAGGUGAACACCAAAACGUGGGUGAUGGAAAAGAAAGCAGAAAAUGAAGCAGAAGCGUUGAAGUGGGUGUGGAGGCUUGAGAACAUUAAUGAUACUUUCAUGGAGCACCUAUGGUACCUGACUUGGUAUACUUCAACUAUCCUUAUUUUAUCAUUAACUAUAUUUUACCAGUAGUUAAAUUUGUAUGAUUAUAAAGUCUUAACUGUAAAAAUUGAUGGGAAUGACCCAAUCUGCAUGUUAUAUAAUAUUAGUUCAGUUUUAACUCCAAAUAACGUGAUAAGUAAAUAUGUGUCAUAUCAUUCACUUAUCUCUUAAGAUAUACAAGGAUCUAUACUGAACCAUAGUUUGCGUUCUGUUACCUAUUAUAAUUGAAAAAUAGACUCAGGUCACUACUUGGGUCUGCUUAUUUAUUGGAUAUAGAAAAAUGGAUGGGAUGACUCAUUUUGGUAAUAGACUUAUUUAUUGGAUAUAGAAAAAUGGAUGGGAUGACUCAUUUUGGUAAUAGACUGGUCAAAAUGAGUGCUUCUAAUUAGAGGUAGCAACAUGUACACGCAGUUAGCUUAAAUAAUAGCGUCAAGAUGUUCGGCUUAACCGUACACGCUGCAAAAACAGGUUGGUCAAGCCAACCUGGAUAUUGCUUAACAGGCUGAGCCUACACAUGGUAUAAUAAUAUACCAGCCGGAAGCAUUCACCCAUGGAGAUAGAUGGUAAAAAUCCAUCUAGAAAGAGCACACAAAAGCUUAAUCUCUGGUUUUGUAAAUGGGAAAAUACGUUUUUGUUAAAAUGAGUGCUUUUUAUUAAAAAAUAUCCACGUCAAACUGGAAGUUUGUUUAUUCAUUUAGGGGUAAUAAACCUAGUGGUAGAUUAAAGUGAUUUGGAGAUAGAUGUAUAACUUCAUUGGCCCUUUGAGGAAGUCGAGACUUUGAGAUAAAAAGGCCAGAAGAGAUUGAGCUAGAGCCCAAUUCCAUUAAUUCACUCGAUACAGGAACAACUACACAGGUUUUAUACUUCUAUUAUCAAUUUUAAUUUCUAUCGUUUUGUGGUUGUAAACUGUUGACGUUCGUUUUCCAUUUAUAAAUUAAAGAAUGGUGCUUUUGUUUGUCACAUUGUUUAAUUUUGUGUACGCUUAACAUAUGUUAGCUUGGUUUGUCACGUUGUACGCUUAACAGGUACAUUGUUCUACUAUCCACCCAUAGUUAUUGAUGCAUUUGUUUUA